RNAcentral lists this ribosomal RNA (253 nucleotides) under uncultured bacterium. RNAcentral's name for it is "partial 16S ribosomal RNA". It matches the Rfam family "Bacterial small subunit ribosomal RNA", at positions 524 to 776 of the family's 1533-position model. The record is from RNAcentral.
UACGUAGGGUACGAGCGUUGUCCGGAGUUACUGGGCGUAAAGGGUGCGCAGGUGGCGGCGCGCGUGGGGGGUGAAAUCGCCCGGCUUAACUGGGCGGGGGCCUUCCAGACGGCGUGGCUUGAGCAGCGGAGGGGGACGUGGAAUUCCGGGUGGAGCGGUGAAAUGCGUAGAGAUCCGGAGGAACACCGACGGCGAAGGCAGCGUCCUGGCCGCUUGCUGACACUGAGGCACGAAAGCUGGGGGAGCAAACAGG